AGAGUUUGAUCCUGGCUCAGGAUGAACGCUGGCGGCGUGCCUAAUACAUGCAAGUCGAGCGAAUGAAUUAAGAGCUUGCUCUUAUGAAGUUAGCGGCGGACGGGUGAGUAACACGUGGGUAACCUGCCCAUAAGACUGGGAUAACUCCGGGAAACCGGGGCUAAUACCGGAUAACAUUUUGAACCGCAUGGUUCGGAAUUGAAAGGCGGCUUCGGCUGUCACUUAUGGAUGGACCCGCGUCGCAUUAGCUAGUUGGUGAGGUAACGGCUCACCAAGGCAACGAUGCGUAGCCGACCUGAGAGGGUGAUCGGCCACACUGGGACUGAGACACGGCCCAGACUCCUACGGGAGGCAGCAGUAGGGAAUCUUCCGCAAUGGACGAAAGUCUGACGGAGCAACGCCGCGUGAGUGAUGAAGGCUUUCGGGUCGUAAAACUCUGUUGUUAGGGAAGAACAAGUGUUAGUUGAAUAAGCUGGCACCUUGACGGUACCUAACCAGAAAGCCACGGCUAACUACGUGCCAGCAGCCGCGGUAAUACGUAGGUGGCAAGCGUUAUCCGGAAUUAUUGGGCGUAAAGCGCGCGCAGGUGGUUUCUUAAGUCUGAUGUGAAAGCCCACGGCUCAACCGUGGAGGGUCAUUGGAAACUGGGAGACUUGAGUGCAGAAGAGGAAAGUGGAAUUCCAUGUGUAGCGGUGAAAUGCGUAGAGAUAUGGAGGAACACCAGUGGCGAAGGCGACUUUCUGGUCUGUAACUGACACUGAGGCGCGAAAGCGUGGGGAGCAAACAGGAUUAGAUACCCCCGUAGUCC
This 808-nucleotide ribosomal RNA is filed under the name uncultured bacterium. RNAcentral describes it as "bacterial SSU rRNA". It matches the Rfam family "Bacterial small subunit ribosomal RNA", at positions 8 to 796 of the family's 1533-position model. The record is from RNAcentral.